Molecule: ribosomal RNA, 463 nt
Filed under: uncultured bacterium
Lineage: Bacteria
Description: partial 16S ribosomal RNA
Rfam family: Bacterial small subunit ribosomal RNA
Source: RNAcentral
CUACGGGUUGCACCAGUAGGGAAUAUUGGACAAUGGGCGAAAGCCUGAUCCAGCAAUGCCGCGUGUGUGAUGAGGGCCUGCGGGUUGUAAAGCACUUUUGAUGGAGAAGAAAUCUUUCGGGCUCAUACCUCGAAAGGAUGACGUUAUCCAUAGAAUAAGCACCGGCUAACUCUGUGCCAGCAGCCGCGGUAAUACAGAGGGUCAAGCGUUAAUCGAAAUUAUUGGGCGAAAAGGGUGCGUAGACGGGUUAAUAAGUUAAUUGUGAAAUCCCUGGGCUUAACCUAGGAACUGCAAUUAAUACUGUUAGUCUAGAGUAUGAUAGAGGAAAAUAGAAUUCCCGGUGUAGCGGUGAAAUGCGUAGAUAUCGGGAGGAAUACCAGAAGCGAAGGCGAUUUUCUGGGUCAAUACUGACGUUGAGGCACGAAAGCGUGGGGAUCAAACAGGAUUAGAUACCCUAGUAGUC